This 279-nucleotide ribosomal RNA is filed under the name uncultured bacterium. RNAcentral's name for it is "partial 16S ribosomal RNA". It matches the Rfam family "Bacterial small subunit ribosomal RNA", at positions 506 to 784 of the family's 1533-position model. The record is from RNAcentral.
UGCCAGCAGCCGCGGUAACACGUAGGAUUCGAACGUUAUCCGGAUUUACUGGGCGUAAAGCGUGUGCAGGCGGCUUGAUAAGUUGGAUGUGAAAGCUCCGGGCUCAACCCGGAGACGUCGUUCAAAACUGUCAGGCUAGAGGACGAUAGAGGAAGGUGGAAUUCCGGGUGUAGUGGUGAAAUGCGUAGAUAUCCGGAGGAACACCAGUGGCGAAGGCGGCCUUCUGGGUCGUUCCUGACGCUCAGACACGAAAGCAUGGGUAGCGAACGGGAUUAGAUA